RNAcentral lists this ribosomal RNA (167 nucleotides) under Bacillus cereus. Its description in RNAcentral is "partial 23S ribosomal RNA". It matches the Rfam family "Bacterial large subunit ribosomal RNA", at positions 1 to 161 of the family's 2925-position model. Lineage: Bacteria; Bacillati; Bacillota; Bacilli; Caryophanales; Bacillaceae. The record is from RNAcentral.
GUUAUAUGGUCAAGUGAAGAAGCGCAUACGGUGGAUGCCUUGGCAGUCAGAGGCGAUGAAAGACGUGGUAGCCUGCGAAAAGCUUCGGGGAGUCGGCAAACAGACUUUGAUCCGGAGAUGUCUGAAUGGGGGAACCCAGCCAUCACAAGAUGGUUAUCUUGCACUGA